This is a non-coding RNA of Microcebus murinus (gray mouse lemur), 3766 nucleotides long. Lineage: Eukaryota; Metazoa; Chordata; Mammalia; Primates; Cheirogaleidae. The record is from RefSeq and is a predicted model, not a curated record.
UGAGAUGGGGUCUCACUUUGUUGCCCAGCCUGGUCCUGAAACUCUGGCCUCUAGUGGUCCUCCCGUCUUGGCCUCUCUAAAUGUUGAGAUUAUAAGCAUGGGCCUCCAAGCCCUGCCUAUUUUUAAACUUUUUAUUGGAACCCUAUUUUUUUGAAAAAAAAAAAAUUGAAAACCUUUUUAUAUACACAUAUUGUAGCCAUGCACCUUAACGAAUUUUCAGAAACUGAACACACUGUGUACUCCAUCUGUUUUUGUAAAUUAAGUUGUUUUUGAAACACAGCCAUGCCGUUUAUUUCUGUGUAUGUCUAUGUCUGUGGCUGCUUCCGCACUACAAUGACAGAAUUGAGUAGCUGAGAUGGAGACCAUAUGGUCUGCAAGGCUGAAAAUACUCUCUGGCCCUUUGCAGAAAAAGUCUCCUGACUCCUUCUGUAUAGUAUUCCACGGUGUGAAUAUACUAACAUGUAUUUAUUUAUUCAUCCUACUAUUGGCAAGCAGUUGGGUAGUUUCCAAUGUGAGGCCAUUAUGCAUAACUUGCUAUGAAGAUCUCGUAUAUGUCUUUGGUGAAACAUGUAUAUGCAUUUCUGUUGAGUUUAUUUCUAGAAGUGGAAUUGUUAGAACAUAGGGAAGAUGUAAGUUUAAACUCAUUAAAAACUGCCAGUUUUCCAAAGUGGUGUGCCAUUACCUCUCCCACAAGCAGUGUCUGAGAGUUCCAUUUGUUCCAUAUCCUUUCAGCGUUUGGUAUUUUCUGUAUUUAUCAUUUUUGCCAUUUUCCCAGCCCCCAUUUUGACGUUUCUGAGUUAUUUCUGUUUGUCCUGGAAACCUGCAGGGAUAAAGCACUCACUGCGUCAAGGGGCAACUGGUCCAUCUUUGCACAAUUCUCAUUUCCUAGGAAGCUCUUCUUCAUAUAGCAGCUUUUCAGAUAUUUAAAAAUCAAUGCUCAUAUUCCACUGAAUGCUAUCUUCUGCAGGAAUAGAAACCAAAUUAUUUCCAGCGUCUUUAAAAAGUUGUUCGAAAGACCUGAGUUUGCGGGCCGUCAUCAUCCCGGGUGCCUGAGGAACGCGUUCAGCUUCUCUGGGCUUCAGGUGCCUCAUCGCAAACUGUUCCUGAUCGCCAAGCAGAUUCCAGCUUCUGCUCUCAGAGUUCAGGAUGGUGAGAGAGUCUCCCCUCUUCAGCCAUGCACGGAGUCGGGCAGCUGUUGAGAAAGCAAAUGAUGGCACAUACAGUACAUUGCAUGAAGGGCCCCAAGUCUGCCUCCUACUUUAUAGAUACACCUGUUGUCAUGCGACUUUUUACCUUCUUCCACCAAAAUGCAGAGUAUAUUUUCCUGCCCUGGAUUUGGAGCUUGGCCAAGUACCUUGCUUUGGCCAAUAGGAUGUUAGGAGAGGUUUGAAAAGGCACUGGACAUUGCUGCUUGUCCUCUUUUGCUUCUGCCGUCACCAUGCAAAGGACCUGCCUAGGCUAACUUGCCGUCCUGGGAGAAGGUGGAAAAUGCAUGAAGCAGGACUGCCCCAGCCAAUGUGCCCCUCAGCCCGCAUGUGUGUGAGCAUGCCUGGCUGUGCCCAACCCAGACCAGCCCACUCAGCUGGACCCCAGGCAUGGGAGCUGAGAUAAUGAGUGGCCGUUGUUUUAAGACACUGAGUGUUGGGAGGUUUGCAUGCAGCAAAAGCUAACUAAAAUUGUUCUUUUGCACCUUUUCUUCAAAGUUAAAAAAUAAAUAUAGGUCAAGUUAAAUAGUGUUACUAUCUUGACCACUUUGGUUGGUAAAAAUAAGUUGUCCACCUACUACAUUGUGAGCUGAUCCACACAAAUUCUUCACCAACACUGUAAAUGUAUACUGCAUGUUUAUGCAAACAAGUUUUGAAACAUGGAAAAAUUUUCCUUUACUUUUUCUAAUUUUUCAAAUGCUUUACAUUUCAGUUAAGCGCAUAUCCUGGGUUUGCUGUGAUAGAAAGAUUGUAGGAGGUCAGUUCAUCUCCUGCAUUUGUGUUUCGACAUGUCUGUAAAUUAUAGACCAUCAUUCUUUACAAAAGUAUUAGUCUGAGAUGGAACUAUUAAUUGGAAUAGAUAUGUUUUCGUUUCUUAUGGUACAAUUCUCCUAAAAAGAAUAUGUAAGGAUUGUUUUAAACUUUUGAAUAUGACAAUUAGUCUAGGGUGUACCACCACAAAUUCAAAAUUGAAAGUAACAAGUCAUAUAUUUUAUUUCACCUUAAAAAAAAUCCAGAACAAGUAAUGGAAAAAAAUGGAAUUAAUUCCUGAAAACGUCACAAAUUCAAUAAAAGAGAGGUGUGUUAUAUUAUGUAUAAUUUAAUUAUUUGUUUGUUUGAAGCAGAAGGAAUCUGCAGAAAUUUUACUUUAAAACAUUUUAGCAUAAACACUGUCUGAUAUGUGUAUGUGCAGAUCGAUUUUAAUAUUAACUCUAUAAUUUUAACAUUUAAAAGCCUUGCUCAGGAACACAAACUUCAGGAGUGCUGCUCUGAACUAUCAAACCCUUUUAUUAGAUCACUGGCUAAGUUUUCACUGGUAGAAGGCGUGUUUCAGAAUGUGGGCUUGGGAUGCCUCCUGUGCAGGUGCACCUGCUCUGGCCUGGAUGGGGUAGAGGAGCCCGCUGAGCCCAGUAUCGUCACAUGCUCCAGAGUGGUGCCCUGGACUUGGGCAGGGAAUUUUGCUGCCAGUCCAACUAGAAGAUUAGCUAAACCCUGCUGCUAGAUUAUUGGUGCAUCUGCUUCACAUAAACCUUUUGUUAUUUAUUAGCUAGUCUAAGGGGCACAAAACACGAUGUUGCAGACUUUUAGGAGGAGUUUGCAUGCCUGUACUGGGAUCACAAACAUUUUUUUAAUAGAAUUACACCACUAAUAGUAUAUAUAGGUAGGUGAGGUACAUUUCAGGUGCUCCCCUGUUCAUUACGAACAACUGUCCCUGGUACAACAUGUCUACUCAGUACCAGGGAGCAGGAGAACCCAAAAGUGCCCUGUUUGGUUAGCCCAUAGUUAGUGCGAAAAUAACAAAAAAAUGUACUUUUGAUAAUGAUUCUUGUCAUUAUGAUAAGUAGAUUGGGGAUUGGCAAACUAUGGACUGGGGGCCAAAUGCCACUUGCUGCCUACUUUUAUAAAUAAAGUUUUAUUGGAACAUAGCCACACUCAUUCAUUUACAUAUGGCUGCUUUCACAGGGGCAAAGUGGAGUAAUUUUGGCAGACACCCAUGGCCUAUAAAAUGAAAAAUAUUGACUGUCUGGUCCUUUACAGGAAAAGACUGCCCACCCCUGACACAGUGUCUAGUCAUGUGGCUUUUCAAACAACAACAACAAUAAACCCCAUUCAUUUGAAAUCAUAAAAGUGGCUUGACUUGUGUUUUUAUAACUUAGAAAAUAAGUGGCACUUUAAAAAGUAUUUUUAUUUGGUUUUGUAUCUUCAGAGUCUGCAAAGUUCCCAAGAGAGAACACUUUAAUGAGAGGAGGGGAGGAAGGGUGUUCCAAUGAUUGGAGAGAGAGACAGGCAGAGGGGGGAGUCAGGGAACAAAGUAGCAAUGGGGCCCUUUCCUCUGCCUCAGAAAGAACCUGCCCCAUGGCUGGUCUGCUUCUCAAACACAGAAGCUUUCUUCUGACCUCAGGACCUUUGCACUAGCCAUUUCCUUUGCCUGGGUCACUUUUCCCUUAGGUAUCCACCAGACUGGCUCCUUCUCAUCACUCAGGUUUCAGCUCAAAUGUCACCUCCUUGGACAGACCUUUCCUGAUCACCCACUCCAAAGACUCAUUCUCCUCUCCCCAUAC